CCAUCACCGCCUGUACGAACGGAGUCCCAGGCGAAAAUGUGCUUGAAAGUGAAAGCAGUUGUGUCGACAGUGCGUUUUGAAUGCUCAGACGGACGGGAUCGUUUUUUCCAUUGCAUCUAAGUUGACCUUAGCGGUGGUUGGACGGACAGGUUGUCCUCUGCGAAGCGGUUGAUACAUAUCGCUGCAUAUACUGUAGGUGAUACAUUGUUGGUCGGGUUUUUAGGGCUGGCUGAAUACUGGCAGGAAAACAUUUCAAGAAGACUAUCUAAGCUGAACAGUGCAAGGGGGAAAUAAUAUCGAGCUCGUAUUUUCUAAAUAUCUGCUGUGGAUUUGCAUGGAUAUACAUAUAUGCAUGCAUUAAUGACUGUAAUAGAUAUACAGGAAUACCCAGGCCUUAUAUGGGUCGAAGAAUCAUCGUGAUGGUCACAGUUGCGCCCAAAAUUGAAAGUGUGAUAUCGCCUCGAAAAUAUAUAUCUUGGCUCGAGAGCUGUAAAAUAUAAAUGCAUAUAGAGGAGCAAGGAGCAAGCCUCACAAUAACGUUAUUUGGUGUUGUAUUACCUAUACAUCCAGCAGCCUUCCUGCACCCACUUGAAGAAGUAGCCUAACAUCAAGAUGAUUGAAAAAUGUAAAACACACCCCCUCAGCUCCAUAUACAUACCAUGACAGCUCGAUGUGAAAUGAUUGAAGAACGCCCUAAAGGGAGGACCGCUGUAUCAGGCUAGAAGGAGGCAGCGAUAGAAUAUAAUAUGGCAAAUGAGAAAACAUUGCACUAAGAAUCAGCCUUCUUUCCCAAGUUUCCCUAACGCCUCUGUCAAGAACUCCGUCGCAUUGACUAGAUCCGUGCUCCCAUAUACAAUUCGUCGUGACGUGGCGCC
This 875-nucleotide small RNA is filed under the name Histoplasma capsulatum var. duboisii H88. Its description in RNAcentral is "Histoplasma capsulatum H88 hypothetical RNA". Lineage: Eukaryota; Fungi; Ascomycota; Eurotiomycetes; Onygenales; Ajellomycetaceae. The record is from RNAcentral.